CAGUCCAGGUAGUCGCCUUCGCCACUGAGUGUUCCUUCCUAUAUCUACGCAUUUCACCGCUACACAGGAAAUUCCACUACCCUCUACCGUACUCUAGCUCGCCAGUUUUGGAUGCAGUUCCCAGGUUGAGCCCGGGGCUUUCACAUCCAACUUAACGAACCACCUACGCGCGCUUUACGCCCAGUAAUUCCGAUUAACGCUUGCACCCUUCGUAUUACCGCGGCUGCUGGCACGAAGUUAGCCGGUGCUUAUUCUGUUGGUAACGUCAAAACCGCAGGAUAUUAGCCUACAGCCCUUCCUCCCAACUUAAAGUGCUUUACAAUCCGAAGACCUUCUUCACACACGCGGCAUGGCUGGAUCAGGCUUUCGCCCAUUGUCCAAUAUUCCCCACUGCUGCCUCCCGUAGGAGUCUGGACCGUGUCUCAGUUCCAGUGUGACUGAUCAUCCUCUCAGACCAGUUACGGAUCGUCGCCUUGGUGAGCCAUUACCUCACCAACUAGCUAAUCCGACCUAGGCUCAUCUGAUAGCGCAAGGCCCGAAGGUCCCCUGCUUUCUCCCGUAGGACGUACGCGGUAUUAGCGUUCCUUUCGGAACGUUAUCCCCCACUACCAGGCAGAUUCCUAGGCAUUACUCACCCGUCCGCCGCUGAAUCCAGGAGCAAGCUCCCUUCAUCCGCUCGACUUGCAUGUGUUAGGCCUG
Molecule: ribosomal RNA, 699 nt
Filed under: Pseudomonas taiwanensis
Lineage: Bacteria; Pseudomonadati; Pseudomonadota; Gammaproteobacteria; Pseudomonadales; Pseudomonadaceae
Description: partial 16S rRNA
Source: RNAcentral